UGGCUCAGGAUGAACGCUGGCGGCGUGCCUAACACAUGCAAGUCGAGCGCGAUUAGUUGGACUGGAGGCUUCGGYCAAAGGGAAGAYUAUGAAAGCGGCGGACGGGUGAGUAACGCGUGAGCAACCUGCCCUGUACAGGGGGAUAGCCACUGGAAACGGUGAUUAAUACCCCAUAAACCCAAAAGAUCGCAUGAUCUAAUGGGCAAAGUCCUAACGGUACAGGAUGGGCUCGCGUCUGAUUAGCUAGUUGGUGAGGUAAUGGCUCACCAAGGCGACGAUCAGUAGCCGACCUGAGAGGGUGAACGGCCACACUGGAACUGAGACACGGUCCAGACUCCUACGGGAGGCAGCAGUGGGGAAUAUUGCACAAUGGGCGCAAGCCUGAUGCAGCAACGCCGCGUGAGUGAUGAAGGCCUUCGGGUCGUAAAACUCUGUCCUAAGGGAAGAAGAAGUGACGGUACCUUAGGAGGAAGCCCCGGCUAACUACGUGCCAGCAGCCGCGGUAAUACGUAGGGGGCAAGCGUUAUCCGGAAUCACUGGGCGUAAAGGGUGCGUAGGCGGCUGAUCAAGCCAGGGGUGAAAGGCAAUAGCUUAACUAUUGUAAGCCUUUGGAACUGGUCAGCUUGAGUGCAGGAGAGGAAAGCGGAAUUCCUAGUGUAGCGGUGAAAUGCGUAGAUAUUAGGAGGAACACCCGUGGCGAAGGCGGCUUUCUGGACUGUAACUGACGCUGAGGCACGAAAGCGUGGGGAGCAAACAGGAUUAGAUACCCUGGUAGUCCACGCUGUAAACGAUGAAUACU
Molecule: ribosomal RNA, 799 nt
Filed under: Firmicutes bacterium AV4-1
Lineage: Bacteria; Bacillati; Bacillota
Description: bacterial SSU rRNA
Rfam family: Bacterial small subunit ribosomal RNA
Source: RNAcentral